This 460-nucleotide ribosomal RNA is filed under the name uncultured bacterium. RNAcentral describes it as "partial 16S ribosomal RNA". It matches the Rfam family "Bacterial small subunit ribosomal RNA", at positions 338 to 795 of the family's 1533-position model. The record is from RNAcentral.
CCUACGGGUGGCAGCAGUGAGGAAUAUUGGUCAAUGGACGUAAGCCUGAACCAGCCAAGUCGCGUGAAGGAUGAAUGUUCUAUGGAUUGUAAACUUCUUUUAUAAGGGAAUAAAAUGCGGCACGUGUGCCUUUUUGUAUGUACUUUAUGAAUAAGGAUCGGCUAACUCCGUGCCAGCAGCCGCGGUAAUACGGAGGAUCCGAGCGUUAUCCGGAUUUAUUGGGUUUAAAGGGUGCGUAGGUGGCGUGUUAAGUCAGUUGUGAAAGUCUGCGGCUCAACCGUAAAAUUGCAAUUGAUACUGGCAGGCUUGAGUAUAGUUGAGGUAGGCGGAAUGCGUGGUGUAGCGGUGAAAUGCUUAGAUAUCACGAAGAACCCCGAUUGCGAAGGCAGCUUACUAAGCUAUGACUGACAUUGAUGCUCGAAAGUGUGGGGAUCAAACAGGAUUAGAUACCCUUGUAGUC